Molecule: ribosomal RNA, 492 nt
Filed under: uncultured bacterium
Lineage: Bacteria
Description: partial 16S ribosomal RNA
Rfam family: Bacterial small subunit ribosomal RNA
Source: RNAcentral
AGUGAACGCUGGCGGUAGGCCUAACACAUGCAAGUCGAACGGCAGCACAGUAAGAGCUUGCUCUUACGGGUGGCGAGUGGCGGACGGGUGCGGAAUACAUCGGAAUCUACUUUUUCGUGGGGGCUAACGUAGGGAAACUUACGCUAAUACCGCAUACGACCUACGGGGGAAAGCAGGGGAUCUUCGGACCUUGCGCGAUUGAAUGAGCCGAUGUCGGAUUAGCUAGUUGGCGGGGUAAAGGCCCACAAAGGCUACGAUCCGUAGCUGGUCUGAGAGGAUGAUCAGCCACCCUGGAUCUGAGACUCGGUCCCGACUCCUGCGGGAGGCCGCAGUCCGGACUCUUGGACAAUGGGCCCGAGCCUGAUCCUGCCCUAUCGCGUGGGUCAAGAAGCACUUCUGGUUGUAAAGCCCUUUUGUUGGUAAAGAAGAACAGCAGGUUAAUACCCCACUGUUCUGACGGUACCCAAAGAAUAAGCACCGGCUAACUUCGUG